This 28-nucleotide unclassified non-coding RNA is filed under the name Mus musculus (house mouse). RNAcentral's name for it is "oocyte_clustered_small_RNA6953". The record is from RNAcentral. Lineage: Eukaryota; Metazoa; Chordata; Mammalia; Rodentia; Muridae.
UAGCUAAGUCAGUGUCAAGCAGAUAAAC